This is a long non-coding RNA of Brienomyrus brachyistius, 3388 nucleotides long. RefSeq lists it as uncharacterized. The transcript is spliced from 3 exons. Lineage: Eukaryota; Metazoa; Chordata; Actinopteri; Osteoglossiformes; Mormyridae. The record is from RefSeq and is a predicted model, not a curated record.
AGGUUUCUGCGUAAGCCAGCCCUAUACGUGCACCACGCCUCCAACUACAAUUUCUCCGAAGAUAAAACGGGGGUAUAUGGAUGAUCCGUACGACUUUAGCGCGCUAAUCGUGAGGGACUCAAUAUGUAUGAAAUAUGUAUAAUAUGCAUGCAAUAUAUUAAUUAAUAACUUAGAGAGAAUGCUAUAUAGAGAAAGUUGAAAACCCAAAGGGUGUGCAUUGUUCCCCGUUGUCCACUGAUCAAAGCACACUUCUCUAGAUGUGCCUGUCUUGUCUAGUUUUAAAGUUAUUAAACCAUUCAUGUAUUGUUCCAUUGCACAUUAUACGGAUACAUUCGAACAUUCUAAAAUUAAUUAAAAUUCGUACGUAAAGCAAUCUGGGAAACGGGGUAUCCAACAGUCGCCAUGAGCUAAUGCUAAACCUCCAUGUCAAUGUCAUUACAGCUGAAAUUCUAUUAUAUUCGCUAUUAACACGAUUUGGCACAGAUCACGAAAUCGCAAAAAUAAUCGGUGUGCAUCGUUGUCUGUGUACUGGAUAUCACAAUUCUGUCAUGACAAACGCCCCAUCUUACUUCCUGUAGAAUUUAUUAAAAACAGAAAACUGAAUAUCGAACAUUAUCUCGAGACAGGUGUUUUGAAUCAUGAAGACCGUUAGGAGAUAAAGCGGCAGCGAAAGCUAAUUUUAAUAAAAAUUAUUGAUCAUCCCUUGAUAGCCCAAUUUAAAGACACCCCCUAUAAGUAAAAUGUUACGUUAAUAUACAUGUUUAACCGAAUUAAUAGCAGGAAUUACAUCUUUGUUGCUGUUUUUCCUCUGCCACAGUGGUUUGCCAUCUACUUUAGCCGUGUGCUUGUCCACAUCUACUGAACUCCAAGGGGGAUCAAAGAAUCACUGAUGACCUGAGUGAAAUGAGGUUUUUUGUCUCAGGACUUUUUGUCUACCACAGGAUGACAUACAUAGAACGUCUCAAACAACCUCAACCGGCUACACCAAAAAUGUACCCAGUGACCAGCCAGACUGCCCAGGAGUGUUUGAAACAACCAGCAAGAGCAUGACACACUGAAAAGUCUUUGUUCGCCGAUUAUCUCACUCAUUCUACUGUGAUAGCUCAAAAUGUGGUGGCGGCAAGUAAGCUGCUGAGCAAGCUGGCAGGUAAAUCGUGCACAGUCUACGGAAGAGGGAACCAGUCGUGCUGCCUGUAGCACUGCACGGGACGCUGCCUUUGGAUCAAAUCAACAGUUGGAUGUCCAGUCAGUAUUUGACAGAUUUCUUCAGACCCACCUGGUGACCCUGGAUGUGGACAUGCCAGGCAAGAGUGCCCGUUCACAGACAUCAGGCCAGUUUCAGUGACAGCUAUACGAGUUUGGUUGAAGGCCCAGAUGAAACUCUAUGUGUAGCGUGUCCUCUGUGAGAAUUGUUAUUUAGACGUCGACCGAUAUGGGUUUUUCAAUACCUGAUGCCGAAAUUUAGGAGUCAGGGUCAGGUGAUGCCCGGUAUAUGCUGCUGAUUUUUUAUGCCCGAUAAUUGGACGUUUUCCCCCUCUAUCUGCAUCGUAAUAUAUCACGCUAAUAAUAACAAACCAUACAAAAAAAGUCUCAACUUAGCAUUUAUUGAAUACUAAAACAAUAAUAAAAAUAGCAGGAUCAGAAUCUUUAAGUACACAAUAUAGCGGCAAACUCCUCGUUUUUGAGGAAAGGAACAUUUGUAAACUACAAAAAAAGGAAUGUGUAUGUUAUCCUCAGUUUUAUUCCCACUUCCAGUCCCUGAGUCUUCCUUGCCCCACCCAUCCCUCACAGCCAUCAGAUAGCAAAUACUAAAGCAAAAGAAUUGCAAGGUUAGCAUUUUUAUUAUAGUGCCUUCACCUCUAAUUCAUUCUACAAUUCCAGUAUUCCAUGCACAUUAAAACAAUUACACUCUUAAUACAUUUUGAAAAAAAAAACACUAGUAUUUAAGUGCAUCAUGGUAUGAUGAGUAGUGUACAAGGCCCAAAACCUUUCACUAACAUGUUGUUUAUGUUGUUAGCAAACAGAUAUCUUACAAGCUAAAUUCGCAAUUAGAACCUAGCGAUCGCAUAAAAUAAAAUACCUUUGGCGUAUUACACAGCCUUGUAUGCAAGGACAACGUAAACCCUUAGUGAUUGUGACGUUGUCGACUGAUAAGCCAGUAUAAAGCAUAGAUAUGAUUAAUGAGGAAACUAACUGCGCAUAGUCGUGCACUUUUCAUAGAGACGUCUGACAUAUUGUUACGAUCUCCGCUCUCAAAUGCAAACAAGUUGCACAGAAAGACCAUCGUCAGCAUCAGCUCAAGUGAAUGGUAACCACGCUUUUGAACAAACCGUUUUCUCUGCCAUGCAUUGUUUUUAUCAGCUCUGUGUCUCCUAGGACGGUGCUGUCUGUGAUCGGGGCAGAGUAACACAACUCUCACACAUGCUGCAGUGUUUCAGAGCUGCCUGCUCCACCCCACACACACAGAGUGAAACUGUCCGACACAAGAAAAAAAACAGAAUUGAUAACAUCGGGCUGAUAUGGUAAUAGCUAAAAUUUUAACAAAAUGAUUUUUAACGAUUAAAAAACGUCUGUGAGCCCACCAACAAGCGCACCAAACUAACUCUGUCAGAAUCAAUGAUCCUUAACGAGGGCUCAGUGUCAUUACGCCAGUUCCCGACAGCAUAAUUCGCGUUCUCUUUUAAAGCAACAUUUCAUAGCAAACCAGUUAAAUAGGUCUUUGAAAGAUUAGAAUUUAAGCCUUACCAUUUAUUCCCAGCACUCUUCCAAAACUUCUGGCUGGGGUCCUGCACAAGGCAGCAUGGGUCAUGUGUUCUACAGCGACAGUAACACUGGGCUGCCCGCAGACGUGCCUGUCUGUAAAUCGGUGUACUACACUCGGAUAUGGCAGAUGCCGAUACAUUAAAAAAAAUGCCAAAUAUCGGUCAACCUGUAUUGUUAUUAACACUAAUUAAUGUCAUAUUUACUGAGAAACAAUCUGUACAUGAUUAACAUAAUCUGUUUAACUGACAUAAUUUAAUUUGUUCUUGAUAGCACACUUUGAAAGACAGGAACCCUUUGGAUGAUCAUCUCAGAGUGACAUUUUCUGCAGCAAGGAUUAACUGUACGCUUGCUUGAACUUCAAUUCAGUUUGGUUCUUUAAUCAAAAAGUUUUUGUCGGUCUCGACCUGGAGCCGUGGUAGAGACUGUCAGUGUCGUUGCUAAGAUAGAAUCUGCAUACUUUCUAUUUUGUUUUAAUCCUACCAGCAAACCAAUAGUCAGAAUGUUUUCCCGCGUCGCAAGAUCAGCUGCAAGCAUCGCUCAUAGCUUGCGCACCUUUUCCCAGAACCAUGCCAAGGUAGCAGGUGCGUCCGGGGGCAUCGGCCAGCCCCUGAAGAAGAGUCCCCUG